UAUAAUGUGCCUGAAGUUAAAGGGCUGUCUUGAUAGGACAGAUAAUGUUUAUUAAACCAUUAUAA
Molecule: transfer RNA, 65 nt
Filed under: Thaumastocoris safordi
Lineage: Eukaryota; Metazoa; Arthropoda; Insecta; Hemiptera; Thaumastocoridae
Description: tRNA-Ile
Source: RNAcentral